RNAcentral lists this unclassified non-coding RNA (369 nucleotides) under Zea mays. Its description in RNAcentral is "misc RNA Zm00001eb132180". Lineage: Eukaryota; Viridiplantae; Streptophyta; Magnoliopsida; Poales; Poaceae. The record is from RNAcentral.
UUGGUUCUGCCGUCGCGCUCGCCUGCCAUCUCCCUCCGCGCUCCAUCCGCCACCAUCCGCGCUCGCCUCCCUUCGCGCUUCCUGCAGCCGCGUGCUCCUUCCUUCGACGACGCGGAUCCCCCGCGACUUCCAUCUCCCUCCGCCCUCUCGCGCUCCAUCCGCCACCAUCCGCGCUGCAUCCGUAAACCGCCUCCCUCCGCGCUUCCUGCAGCCGCGCGCUCCUUCGACGGCGCGGAUCCCGCGCCCUCGAAUCACGCCAGCAGAUCCCACAAUCAAGCAGCGGCGACAGGAAUAGGGGCGGGCUACGCGGGCGCUACUGCGGCGAGGGUGAGGGCGAGCGCUCCGGUGCCGCGGCGCCGUUCAUCGUAA